Molecule: long non-coding RNA, 7432 nt
Organism: Capsicum annuum
Lineage: Eukaryota; Viridiplantae; Streptophyta; Magnoliopsida; Solanales; Solanaceae
Exons: 3
Source: RefSeq, a predicted model, not a curated record
UAUCAAAAAAAUAAGUUAAAAUUCAAGGAGGAUAAAAAAUCACAUGUCUACAAUGAUGGAUCUGUUCGUGCGGUCAUGUUUCUUGUUAAUUUAAGCCUUUCCAUCCGAUGCCACAAGUACGAUUUGACCAAACUUGCAUUUAUCGUUUCAGCCCUGGUAGAUUUUAGAAGUACUGGCAGUACCUGAUGGAAAUUGCCUCCAAAAACUACUACUUUUCCACCAUUCAUCAAUAUAUCUCUAAAGCUCCUAUCAACCGUUUAAUUGUUCGACGACUAGCCAUAGGAGUUUUGUCCUAAAUAAUCAGCUUGGCUUUUUUUAAUUAAUUUAGCUCCACCACUUUGCUUUGACAUACGUGUGAUUGUCGUAUCAGUUCUUUGAAGUGGUAUCUCAAAUCUAGAAUAUUUUGUAUGACCUCCUGAUAAAAGAGCUGCAGCUACACCACUUGUUGUCGUUGCUAAAGCUAUUAUCCCUCUCGAUAUGAUAUUUACAAGUAUUGUGCGAUAUAGGAAUGUUUUUCCAGUCUCGCCAGGUCCGUCAAUAAAGAAUAAUCCCAAUUUUUUAGUAUCGACCCUUUCCAAUAUAAUCUUGAAUGCUUGCUCUUGUUCAGGAUUUAGUUUUGUCUAUACAUCCAAAUCUUCUAAAGACACUAUUAUAGAUUUCUCUGUAUUCUGAUAUAAUUCCAUCAUCCAACAUCUGUUCAAGUUUAGGUAUGCCAUAAUUUUUAAUUUUCUUCCCCAUGCUUUCUAAGAAAUGAUUUUUGUUUUUCAAUGUGCAUUGAAGUUGAGCAGUAGGAAAAUUGUCAUGUGUUCUUUUAAAAUCUUCUGACAUGUCAUCAUAAUAUGUGUCCCAGAGGCAUAUUCCCAUACUCCCGCACAAGAUUCAAUGUUGAUGUGGCAGUUGUAUAUAGUUAGUAAGUAAGAAUUAUAUGGAAUGACCCACUGAUUGUUCAUUGUCAUGCCUCAAACUUUUUCCUUUAUUCUAUUAUUUCGUAUCUUAUAAAUAGGAUAUCAAUCUUUUCCUUGCAUUGAUUUAUUACUAAAUGUCCGAGGAUAAUGACUCUUGUAUUGCCCAUCCUUUAUGCAUGAAUUUGCUGGAUGAUUUUUUCCACAUAACCCAUGCAUGAUAUUCUUGACAACCAAAUCAUGUAAGAUCAGAAAUUCUUCUUUGUUAAGAAGUUCAGCGAAAAUAAACCUAUCAUAGUUGUCUAGCGGUGUUAUCUUGUAUCCCUGUUCAAGUAUUAACAAAAGAUAUAUGUGCGGUAGUCCUCUUUUUUGAAAUUCAAUCACAAAAACAUGUGCUGCAACGGAACCAAAUAUCUUUUUAUUGAAGAUUUGAUCUUUUAAGUCAUGUAACUUUGCUCUAAAGACUCUAGUCACUAAUUCAGGUCUAUCUUGAGGAAGUUGUCCUUCUAUCAAAUUUUCUUUGAUCUCCAUCCAGUCAGGAUUACAUGUCAUUGUGAUGAAUAGAUCUGGUUUUUCAAAACGCUGAACCAAAGCCAUUGCAUCCAUAUAUCUAUGACGCAUAUCCCUAGGACCUCCAAUAAAUGAUGCAGGAAGUAUUACUCUCUGACCAACUAGAUCCUCUAAUUUCUUUGGCUAGUAUACUAUCAAAUAUACCUUGCAAUAUUUCCCUUCUAAGAUUUGAUUGCUCCAGCCUAAAAUAUUCAAAUUGUGUUGUUUCCAACUUAAUGUAUAUGUCAACUACAAAUUAUUGGAACAAUCUUCUGCACAGUAGAAUUAUCGUUCUUUCUCCAUCACGUAUUUGCAACUUAUAGCAGUAGUACUCUCUACAAGAGACACAAUGCUUACCUCCUCAUCGCACACCUAAAAAAAAUUAAAACACAUUGAUAUGAGACUUUUAAAUAACCAAAUCUAAGAGUUUGUGUAAUUAUGUUUCAAAAUUAUACCUUGUUGCUCAUUAUCAAACACCUCAUUAGCAGACGUAAAUGCUGAAAUAUUCUGAUUGAGGCUUUCAACUUCGAUAUUGUGUGAAUUUUUUUUUGUUUUAUGUUGUUUUAAUAUUCCUUAGUGCCAACCUGGUUCACUAUUUGGAAAAAGUAAAGGAUACUGAAGUGGGUCAUAACAAUCAUAAUGAUGUUUGACUCUAUGCAUAUUGCCUGAGUGUUCAUGAACAAUAAUUUCUUGAUCAAAUAAUACAUUGGGGUUGUUUCCGUCUAUUCAAAUAGCAACAAUUUGAUUUACUAAUGGUUUGUUGUAUACACGUUGAUCUAGUUUAGCAUUAGAAGCAUUUCGAAUCUCUAAAUUCGGAAAGCUUGAAUAAUCUUUUAGCUAGCAAAAAAAUUGUGCAUAAGGAUUGACAUCCAUUAUUUGUCUUAUUAUCGCCACAACUUUUACGGAUAAAUUGGCUUCUUUGAGUUUUGAAAUCCUAUGGGAUACCUCAUUUUUUGUGUCAAAAAGUAUAAUUAAAAAUAACAUGAAUUAUCAUUAUGUGGAAUUAAUGAGGGUAGAUCAUGAUAUAUUUGACCCUGUGCCUUAAACAUAUAAACUCCUUAUCUUGAAGAUGCCAGAUCAUUGUCAAUUCUUACACCAAAAGACGUAACUUCAAAUAUGUUGUUAUAUCCUCUAAUGUUUUGUGAAAUUCUUUUGCUACUGUAGAGUCCGAGAAAAAUAACGCAUACAGUUGAACUGGAACUUCUGUAGGUGCAAGUUUAAUUGAUCCACCGUCGCAAUAAAAUGUUAGAGUUUCAUAUUCAAACCUCAAAGCACGACAAUGUAUGUAUUUAGGAAUAUUUUCCAACUUAUGAAGAGAUGAUAUUGAUGGUAUGUAGUCAACUUGACCUAAAUUUAUAUAGUUAUAUAUUAUAAAACUUAAUAAUAAUAAAUGAUGAAUAAAUAGAGUUGAGUAACUGUAAUGAAUAAAUUAGUACUACAUUACCUUCAAUGUCAUAGUUUUUUGAUAAAGCUUUUAGGAAUCAAUUUAUUCUCCUUUUUUAAUUGGUCUUCUUUCUUCGAUAUUGAUAUCUUCUGUAGAUUGAACUGUUGUGCCUGCUGCAUUAGAAAUAAAUAUUACUUGUUUCUUUUUUUUUCCAGAUAAAAGAUGUGAAAAUAUCAGAAUAUACUUAUGUUAGAUAAAAUAAGCAAAUUUCUAAUCAUUAUGAGGGAACGGAUCCAUACAAUGCAAACGCAAUUCAAAGUCAAAAUGACCAAUAUUUUUACUCUGGUGGGGGUUUCGGUCAGUAAUUUAGUCAGCUAACACUCCAACAACAUGAGCAGAAGCAUGCCUCAAGUGAUUAUUUCGGGAGUCAGACAACUGUCAAUUAUUCCCAGCAAGCAUUUCAGAGUAGCAACAGUUUGCUUAUGCUUCCGCUGCAGGAAAUCAUCUGCUGGCCAUCCACCACAUGCUUUGGUCACUUUUGAUUUUGGUGGAAAACUGAUUGUAAUGAAAGAUCACAGUUCUUUUGGGAACCCAUCCUUUGAAAGUCAGAAUCCUGUAGGAGGUUCGAUAUCUGUGCUCAAAUUGAUGGAUGUUGUCUCUGAGAGAGUUGACAAUUCAAGCCUUGUGAUAGGGGCAUGUGACUAUAACCGUUAUACGGAGUUGUUGCUUAUCGUUUAGUCAUUGAGGAACUAAGAUGCUAGCUGUACUGUUUUUGAAUUUUCUACAGAUAUACAAGUUAGUCAUUCUGAUUCGAUUAUAUUCUCAUAUUAUGGAAUUUAAUUUUUCUAGAAAGCUACGAUCUGCUAUAAGCUAACAGUAAAUAAAUGAAUAAAUUAUUCUAAAAAACUGUGUAGUCGCUGUUUUUGGAGUUUGAGGUGAAAAAGCAGUUUUGAAUGGUAAGUAAGCACCCUUUUCUAGUUCAUGAGUAUUGUCGAUUGCAACAUCUAAAUUUAUUUUAGUUGCAGCAAUAUAUUUGUUAACCCUUUCAAUGACUUGAGCAACUUUGUCUUGAUCUAUAUAGAUAAGAUAAAAAAAUUAACAAAAGUGACGCACAACAAAAGUUGAAAUAUAAUCUGUUACAUUAAUUUUCUAGCUACCUUGUGCCAUUUGUUUAAUGAAUAAAUAUCCUGCGAUAUAGAAUAAGAAAUUAAAAUUAAUAAUGUAUUACAAGUGAACAAAAGCAUAUAUUGUAUGAUUAGAUCAAAUUAGCAGUAGACAGUUAGUAAAAGUGAACAAACAACUAAUAUUAUUUGAUAUGCCAGCAAAAGUUGCUUAUUAUCUAAAAAAAAAAGAAAAACUAAAAUAACUAAUAAAUAUCUAGAUUCUAGAACUAUUGAUUUUAAAAUAACUAAUCAGUAACUACUAUAUAGAAAAAUUUGGGCUUCUAUUGUAUAGAGAAAAUAGCAUCAUUGAUCCUUAUUAAGCUUGAUCCUUUUUUGUGGUAUUGUGUCAUCAGUAUCGUUUUCUGUUCUUGUUAUCUCUUUGAUUGUUGUUUCUGAGGUGAUAUCUUCAUCUAUUAUAUUAAUUGGAAUAGCGUUUUGAACUGGUUGUACUUCAUCAGCAAUAAAGUGUCUUCCUAUUCGAUCUCCUUUCUUUCAUACUUUAAUUUUGACAAAAAAUACAUAUUGUUUGUUAAUACUUAGCAGCAAGUUUCGAUAAAAGGAUGAUUUUUCUCUCUGUAUCAAAGAAAAUAAUAUAUUAGUAAAAAAAAAAUUAGUGAAGAAAAAAAUAUAGUAAUAAAAUAUAUAAUAAGUAUAAAAGGAGAGUAUAAUAUGACCUUUUUCGAUAUUGAUUGGUUAUAUGUUGUAACAUUGCAACCAGUCAAGUGUCUUGUGGCUUCAAAUAGUGUAACAGUGCAAUGUUCAUUGUCAACGGACACGUCAAGUAUUAGACGAAACCUACAGAAACAACAAAAAGUAAACAAAUAGCUUGUUUAUUGAUUCUUAAAGAAAUAAUAUAAAACUUUUUAUGUGUAUCACCUGUCGUCAUAAUGUGCAUUUUCUGCUAGACAACCAAAACAUUUUGAAAUAUUAUUGUUGAAGUUUACUUUUUUGUAGCAGUUGUUGCAAGAUGCAUAGCAUGGAGCAUCUGCAUUUAAGAGCCUUAAAAUUUUCGCAGUAAAUUUACAAUAUUUAACCUACAUAUAAAAACAGAGAGAAGACAAAGAUUAAAACUACUAGAACAUGCAUAAAUUUUGAUUACGAUGGUGAAAAUAGUACCUCAUUAUAAUCGAACGAUCCAUGUGCUAUAUCCUCAAUUUUUAGUUCUUGAGACUUUGUAAUAUGUAAAGAUGGCAACAUAGUAAUAUCAACGUGUUUCUUCUUCUUUACAAAAAUCCUACAUGUUAUUUAGGUAGAGAAGUAAAAUAACUAAUAUUAUACUAUUCAUUAUUUUGAAUAUGAGAAUGUAUAGUACCACUCUUGGAGAAAUAUUGUUUUUUCAAAAGUGAAAUUUAUCCACAUACUACUGAUAGAUGUAGAAGUUAUCCCAAAAUUCCCUGCAAAGAUUUGAAGAAAAAGGGUUAGGACAAAAAAAAAAGACAGAGAAUUUACUAUAAACACAAGUUCUAUUAUUAUAAACACAACUUCUAAGAUAGUACCUAGAAAUAGAUUAGUCUUAACAUCACAGAAUGCAAUUACAGAUUUUUCUUCAUUGAGGCUUUCUAAGAGUUUAUCUUUUAUUUCUGAGAAGUCGCCCCAUAAUGUUAUAAUUUUUUUAUCACACCUAAAUUUUUUAAUCAAAUCACGGAGGUUAAAUUAUGAAAGUGCACUGAAAUAGGUGAACAAUAGAAACAAAAUAGACAUUUUUAAAAAGUUAGUUCAACUUACUUUUCAUUCAUAAGUAUGAGCUCUGUACGUUUUUUGCCUUUUGUGAAGAGCUUAGACGACAUGAAGAUUUUAAAAAUAUCUACAAAAUAUUAAGUAUAAAUUAAUCGGUAAUAGAAAUAAAAUAUCUAUGAAAUAUUAGAUGAGGCAACGAAAUCUAAAGGAACUACCUAAAACUAUUCCCAUGGUAUGCAACUUUUCGUCUUCAAAUGAAACAAAGUUGUUCGAAAAACAAAGUGUAGAGAAAGAAUUUUUGUAUUCUUGAACUAUAGUUGCAUCGCUGAAGCCAACUUCAAUGUUCUUAUUGACGGAAAGAAAAUUGAGAUUGGGAGGAGCAAUACGGCUAUUCAUGAUGUAGCAAAAUUUUCCUUGAUGUAAACGCUUUUUCCACAUUGUAAUAUGUCCAUUGAAAAGAGUGGCAUUAACUUUUGUGCCCUGAAAAGAAAAGAGGAAAAAAAAAGAUGAAUAAAGAACAGGGGUGAAAUAAAACAAAGAUGAAUCAAUAACAUUAAGUGAUUUUAUAAUAUAGAUGUUGUUGAUAAGUAGAAUAGUAGAAGAAGAACAUUUAGUUAUAAAUAAGUGCAGUGAUUGAUGAAUUAAGUACCUCUUCAUCGACGAAGGUGAAAGCUUUUUAUGUACCACUUGUCGUUUGAGCAAAUUCUUUUAUUGCUUGACACCCUAUGACCAUGAUUUUAAUUAUGGAGGUACGAUCGUGGAGCUUGACUGCGCUAAGAGGCACAACUUCAGUAAUUGGGUCUGUUAAUUCAAUAUCGGUAGAGUUUGAUGAUUUGGUGAUUGAGUCCAUUGCUGACUUGAUAAUUAAGUCAAGUACAAUAAUAUAAUAAAGUUAUAAUAACAGUAAGACAUAAUUAUAUAACAAAAAGUAAUUUAUGAGGCGGGAAUAUUUUACUUGAAUAUGUGAACCUUAUUAGUUGAUCAGUAGAAUAGUAGGAGAAUGUUAGGGGAUAAACUAAGAAUCAGCUUAAAUUAAUUAUUAACAGUAAUAACAAUAUAAGAGCGGAGAAUUAUGAAUUAUUGAAAGAGAUUGUAUAAAAAAAAAACUAUAAGCGAAGCAACUUUUAAGCUGGCAUAGCAAUUAAUAUUGUGUUUAAGUGAAUUAUUAACACUAACAAUAAUAUAGGAGCGGGAAAUUAUGAACUGCUGAAAGAGACUGUAUAAAAAUACUUGGAGAAGAGACAUACUGAAAAAAAUGUAUGAGCAGCGAUGUGAUGCAGCGAUAUGAGAGAAAAAGUAUGAGCAGCGUUGCGACGCAACGAGAGAAGAAGGAAAGAAAGUAAUGCGUGGGCGUGUGAAAAAAUGCGAGCAGUGUGGUGAUGCAACAAGAGAAGUGUGAGCAGCGUUGCGAUGCAAUGAGAGGAGCAGGGAAAAAAGUAAUGCGUGUGCCUGUGAAAAACUGCGAGCAGCGUGGUGAUGUAGCAAGAGGAUUUGCGAAGAAAAUAAUGUAGGGCGAUGAUGUUACGAAGAUAAUAGAAAAAUAAUAUGGUAUUUAUAGAAGUAGUUUUUUUGCUGGGUUGAAUAUGAACGUGCAUGUUAUAAUCUAGUUAAAAUAGGAUUUUGAUCUUUGUUUGUUCUAAUUUAGUUAGAAUAAGAUCAGUAAAAAAGGAACUUUUUUAUUUGUCCGAUAGUUCCUUAUUUUAUAUGUAAAGGAUUUGUAACAAAUUUCUUUUUCAGUAGGAAAGGUUUUUUUUUAA